RNAcentral lists this ribosomal RNA (1145 nucleotides) under metagenome. RNAcentral describes it as "bacterial SSU rRNA". It matches the Rfam family "Eukaryotic small subunit ribosomal RNA", at positions 558 to 1774 of the family's 1831-position model. The record is from RNAcentral.
AGUCUGGUGCCAGCACCCGCGGUAAUUCCAGCUCCAAUAAGAAAUAUUAAAGUUGUUGCUGUUAAAAAGCUCGUAGUUGAAUUUCUGGGUAUUUUACUAUGAUUCGAUAACUUCGUUUCUUGUAAAGUAUUCAUCUGUCUGUUAAUGAUUGUUGUGAUUAACGUUACUCAUUCAAGCUCAGACAAUUUACUGUGAGAAAAUUAGAGUGUUUCAGGCAAGCUUGGCUGGAAUAGAUUAGCAUGGAAUAAUGGAAUCAAAUGAAAAUCCAUGGUUAAAUGGAGGUUUAUUUAGGAUUAAUAGGAACAAUUGGAGAUGAUAGUAUUUAAUUAUCAGAGGUGAAAUUCUUAGAUUUGUUAAAGACUAACUUAUGCGAAGGCAUUCACCGAGGAUGUUUUCAUUAAUCAAGAACGAAAGUUUGGGGAUCAAAUGAGAUCAGACACCUCAGUAGUCCAAACCAUAAACUAUACCGAUUUAAGAUUGGAGGAGCUUAAAAAACUCCUUCAGCAUUAUAGAGAAAUCAAAACCUUUGGGUUCAGGGGGGAGUAUGGUCGCAAGGCUGAAACUUAAAGGAAUAGACGGAACGACACCACAAGAAGUGGAUCAUGCGGUUUAAUUUGACCCAACACGGGAAAACUUACCAACUCAAGAUUUAGGAAGGAUUGACAGAAUAAAGCUCUUUCUUAAUUCUAAAGAGAGUGGCGCAUGGCCGCCCUAAGCCAGUGAUGUGAAUUGCCUGGUUAAUUCCGAUAACAAGCGAGACCGAAUUCUGCUAACUAGUUUUGUAUUCUUAAAUACUAUAGACUUCUUAGAGGGACAGCUUGUGUUAAGCAUGAGGAAGUUCGGCAAUGGCAGGUCCGGAUGCCCUCAAUGAGUUGGGCAACACGCGUAAUAUAAUGACAGAUUUUAACGAGUUAAUGCCUCGAAAGACGGCAUUUAAUCAGCAAUAUCUGUCGUGAUGGGAAUAGAUCUUUGUAAUUAUAGAUCUUGAGCGAAGAAUUUCUUGUAAGCGUAAGUCAUUAACUUGCGCUGACUAUGUCCCUGUCAUUUGUACUCACCGCCCAUCGCUCCCACUUAUUCGUGAAAUUUUGCGAAUUUAACGGAUUCAAAAGACAUCUUUUGGUGAAGUUACGUAAGCAAAAUUUUAU